Molecule: ribosomal RNA, 198 nt
Filed under: Triticum aestivum (bread wheat)
Lineage: Eukaryota; Viridiplantae; Streptophyta; Magnoliopsida; Poales; Poaceae
Description: partial small subunit ribosomal RNA
Source: RNAcentral
AUGGAGAACAACAGGAGCAACCAGCAGGCUCCUCCACCGCCACCAGCAGGGUACCCGACGGCGGCGGCGGAGCAAGGCCAGGCCGGCGGGAAGAAGGGCCGCCGGGCGAGCACCAAAUCCAGGGGCGAGAAGGGCUUCAUAGAGGGAUGCCUCGCCGCACUGUGCUGCUGCUGGAUCUGCGAGAUGUGCUGCGACUAA